CCGCGCCACCUUGAGUCCGUCCGUCGUCAUUUGAUUGAUGCUGGUUUUAGUGGGCAGUUUCUUCUGUUGGUUCAGCUUGAGUUACAGGAGUCUGGUGUGUAGAGUCAUCCUUCACUCCACAUUGGUUUAUCACAGAGCCUCCAGCUGGUCCAGACCACCACGAUGUCCUGCCUGAACGACAUCUAACUGCCUUCAAAGUUUCCGCUCACUCCAUCUCAAUAUAUACUCCACAGAAUAGAACAAUCCUGACAGUUAAGAACUUAUAACUUCCUCCUACCUAUCCGGAGCCGUCUGGAGCAUGCGCCAUGUUGCCCCUUCUCUUUUCGUGCCUACGAAUCCCGCGGGUCGGGACAGGUGGCGCCCAGCGUGGGGCACGAAAAAGAACGAAGGAACCGCUGAAGGACCAGCUGUGGUGAGCCGGCAAGUAAGGGUAGGUAGCUGGGAAUCAUGGGCAAUUCAAUGUCCAAGGGGCGGUUAGUUAUUUCCCUGGAAGCUCUCCUAAAAUAGUUUGGGGUUCCUCUUAGUAAGAAAAAUUCUUAAAAGAUUUGUAGAGACCCUUAGUAUCACUAGUAAGUGGUUUCUGGAGCAGGGUCAGGUCGACAGUGCCAAUUGGAAUAAGGCAAUAGGAGAUAGAGGAGGAGCCGACAUUCAAUUAACAAAGGUCAUGCGAGGGUCGACAGAACCAUAUGCGGAGUUCCUAGCAAAACUGAUGACUGCAGCUGGCGGAUUCUAGGGAACACUGAUGCCUCCCUACCGAUAGUUAAACAGCUUGCAUUUUGAAAAUGCUAAUAAGUGGUGUUAGGAAGCUAUCAGACCCUGGAAAGCUCGGGCUAGUUUGUAUGAGUAUGUGAGACUUUGUUAGGAUAUUUGUGUAUGUAAUAAUCGUUCAUGUCUGGACUGGUGCCCUUUUGCCCUGGUGGGCCAGGGUGAGGUGAAAUUAUAUAAUGGCACUUACUCUGCAAACCGUACCUUUGAACAAUCCGUUAGUGUCCAGAAUAAUGGGUCGGAGAGUUUGUCUGCUGCUGUCUGUUUGUCCCCUCCCUUCUUUCUUGUCCUCUCCAGUAAUGCAGGAAAUGCAACUGUGUUGAACUGUUCAGCGGAGACCUGCGCCCUCUCUGCCUGCUGGGCCUGGAGUGCGGAGAGGGUGGUGAUGGUUCGUCUGCCUUCUACUUUAAUCAUGCCCAUGAUUGUUUCUGCACACCUUUCCCCUGUUCUACCUAAGAGGAGACGUGAUUUUAGCAUCACUGCAGCUAUUGUCGCCAUUUCAAUAGCGGUGGCCGCGGCUGUGGUUGCUGCCGCCGUUGCUGUCACUCAAGCUGCUGCAAAUAUGGACACUAUGGACAAUUUAGCUGCCGGUGUUGCUUCUGCGUUGUCAACACAGUAAGAUAUGAAUGGACAUUUGCGGAAUGGACUUUUCGUGCUUGGUCAGCAGAUAGCUCUAAUGUAAAAAGGGAUAGACACACUUUUGUUAACUGCUCACAUACCUUGUAACCCUCUGUACCAUUUUAUUUGUGUUACCCCUGUUACGGGUGAGGGUCUCAUUGCCUGGUUUAGAGGACUCCUCCCAGAGUUGCAAGCUUGGGGCAGGGUGGUAGCCUUAGCUCUUGGCUUUUUGCUGUUUGUACAUUCGGCAUAUGGUUUCUCUGUCGGCUACGGAAGCGAAACAAAGAACAUGCUAUUGCGGUCAGGCAAGCACUUGGCACCAUGGUACUUGACCAGGACUCCCCAGUGGCACCUGGAUGGGUCAACUUAGUCCUAGAGAACCUGUGAGACAAAGACGGGUAAGAGCGUAGCCCGUCCAGACCAAACUAAGACAGCGGUCCGGACCAAGUGCACCGGACUAGCAAUGACGGGUAAGACUGGUCACGGGAUGUGCCAACCUAAGACAGGCCAGGUGUCUCAUUUAAAAGAAAAAAGGGGGAGAUGUCCGGAGCCGUCCGGAGCAUGCGCCGUGUUGCGUAUGUAUGCCAUGAGUUAAGUUUCGCUUUACCGUUUCGCUUUCGGAGAACCACAGGUUUUUCCUGUAAAUCACAUGAGACUGGGAGGUACGGGGGGAGGAGCUACGAGGGUAUAAGAGGAGAACACGGGAGAGAGGGAGAGAGAAGAGAGAUUUAAGAGGAGACCCACGAGAGAGGAGAGUGCUGCGAGAGGAGCAGAGAGAAGGCCAGGGAAGUAAGAAAGACAGGGAAAAGAAAGACAUGGAAAAGUAAGAGAAGGAAAAGGAAAAAUAAAGAAGCAUGCGCUAGCGUCAAGUUGUCUCAAGCCCCUCAUUUCAUCCUCAGCCCUUCUCUUUUCGUGCCUAU
Talpa occidentalis (Iberian mole) is the source of this 2303-nucleotide long non-coding RNA. RefSeq lists it as uncharacterized. Lineage: Eukaryota; Metazoa; Chordata; Mammalia; Eulipotyphla; Talpidae. The record is from RefSeq and is a predicted model, not a curated record. The transcript is spliced from 3 exons.